RNAcentral lists this ribosomal RNA (114 nucleotides) under Nomascus leucogenys (northern white-cheeked gibbon). Lineage: Eukaryota; Metazoa; Chordata; Mammalia; Primates; Hylobatidae. The record is from RNAcentral.
AAUAUAGACUAGUCUACACCUUGAAUGCACCUGAUCUCAUCUGAUCUCAGAAGCUAGCUAAGCAGGGUUAGGCCUGGUUAGUACUUGGAUGGGAAAAACAGAGAACAUAUAUUA